GGGCGAAAGCCUGAUCCAGCCAUGCCCCGUGUGUGAAGAAGGGCUUCGGAUUGUAAAACACUUUAAUUUGGGAGGAAGGGAUUAACCUAAUACCUUAGUGUUUUGACGUUACCGACAGAAUAAGAAACGGCUAACUCUGUG
This 141-nucleotide ribosomal RNA is filed under the name uncultured bacterium. Its description in RNAcentral is "partial 16S ribosomal RNA". It matches the Rfam family "Bacterial small subunit ribosomal RNA", at positions 373 to 507 of the family's 1533-position model. The record is from RNAcentral.